AGAGUUUGAUCAUGGCUCAGAAUCAACGCUGGCGGCGUGCCUAACACAUGCAAGUCGAACGAGAAAGUGGUAGCAAUACCAUGAGUAAAGUGGCGCACGGGUGAGUAACACGUGACUAACCUACCCUGGAGUGGGGGAUAACUGAGGGAAACCUUAGCUAAUACCGCAUAAUACCCACGGGUCAAAGGAGCAAUUCGCUUUGGGAGGGGGUCGCGGCCGAUUAGUUAGUUGGCGGGGUAACGGCCCACCAAGACGAUGAUCGGUAUCCGGCCUGAGAGGGCGCACGGACACACUGGAACUGAAACACGGUCCAGACUCCUACGGGAGGCAGCAGUGGGGAAUUUUGCGCAAUGGGGGAAACCCUGACGCAGCAACGCCGCGUGGAGGAUGAAGUCCUUCGGGACGUAAACUCCUUUCGAUCGGGACGAUUAUGACGGUACCGGAAGAAGAAGCCCCGGCUAACUUCGUGCCAGCAGCCGCGGUAAUACGAGGGGGGCGAGCGUUGUUCGGAAUUAUUGGGCGUAAAGGGUGCGUAGGCGGUUUUGUAAGUCUUAUGUGAAAUCUAUGGGCUCAACUCAUAGACUGCAUGAGAAACUGCAGGGCUCGAGUGUGGGAGAGGUGAGUGGAAUUCCUGGUGUAGCGGUGAAAUGCGUAGAUAUCAGGAGGAACACCUGUGGCGAAAGCGGCUCACUGGACCAUAACUGACGCUGAUGCACGAAAGCUAGGGGAGCAAACAGGAUUAGAUACCCUGGUAGUCCUAGCCCUAAACCAUGAUUGCUUGGUGUGACGGGUACCCAAUCCCGCCGUGCCGUAGCUAACGCGUUAAGCAAUCCGCCUGGGGAGUACGGUCGCAAGGCUGAAACUCAAAGGAAUUGACGGGGCCCGCACAAGCGGUGGAGCAUGU
Molecule: ribosomal RNA, 904 nt
Filed under: uncultured bacterium
Lineage: Bacteria
Description: bacterial SSU rRNA
Rfam family: Bacterial small subunit ribosomal RNA
Source: RNAcentral